This 730-nucleotide ribosomal RNA is filed under the name uncultured bacterium. RNAcentral describes it as "bacterial SSU rRNA". It matches the Rfam family "Bacterial small subunit ribosomal RNA", at positions 771 to 1501 of the family's 1533-position model. The record is from RNAcentral.
AACAGGAUUAGAUACCCUGGUAGUCCACGCCGUAAACGAUGUCGACUUGGAGGUUGUGCCCUUGAGGCGUGGCUUCCGGAGCUAACGCGUUAAGUCGACCGCCUGGGGAGUACGGCCGCAAGGUUAAAACUCAAAUGAAUUGACGGGGGCCCGCACAAGCGGUGGAGCAUGUGGUUUAAUUCGAUGCAACGCGAAGAACCUUACCUGGCCUUGACAUCCAGAGAACUUAGCAGAGAUGCUUUGGUGCCUUCGGGAACUCUGAGACAGGUGCUGCAUGGCUGUCGUCAGCUCGUGUUGUGAAAUGUCGGGUUAAGUCCCGCAACGAGCGCAACCCUUAUCCUUUGUUGCCAGCGGUUCGGCCGGGAACUCAAAGGAGACUGCCAGUGAUAAACUGGAGGAAGGUGGGGAUGACGUCAAGUCAUCAUGGCCCUUACGAGUAGGGCUACACACGUGCUACAAUGGCGCAUACAAAGAGAAGCGACCUCGCGAGAGCAAGCGGACCUCAUAAAGUGCGUCGUAGUCCGGAUCGGAGUCUGCAACUCGACUCCGUGAAGUCGGAAUCGCUAGUAAUCGUAGAUCAGAAUGCUACGGUGAAUACGUUCCCGGGCCUUGUACACACCGCCCGUCACACCAUGGGAGUGGGUUGCAAAAGAAGUAGAUAGCUUAACCUUCGGGAGGGCGUUUACCACUUUGUGAUUCAUGACUGGGGUGAAGUCGUAACAAGGUAACC